UGGUGUGCUAAAGUCGAGACAUAAUGAUAACCCUGUGUCAGAUGAGCUGUUCAGUUCAGAGCGCAACUCUCUAUCUCUCUCUCAGGGAUAUGAUGAUCUGAAGGCGCAAGAUUUUGUAAAUUUUUGUUUCAUCACGAAAAUCUCUUGUGUAAAUUUUCAGAGACAAAAUAGGAGGAAUCUACAAGAUCUUAUUUAUUUGUUAAAAUUAUGCAGAAAACUGUGAGUUCAAAUCCCAUGGAGAAAACCACCUCAAUAUGUUGUGCUCAAAACGCAAGUGAGAAGGAUGAUAAAGGAGGAGGGUUGUGUUUGAAGGAUCGUAUUAGUGGAGUGGACUUCCUGAUGUUAUACUCGUUUCCAUCUUGUCACUAUUGACAAUGAAAGAAGAUGGAAGUAGUCUGCUUUCAAAGAGAUGGAGUUGGAAUUAUUCAGGGAAAAGCAGGAAAGAAUACGACAAAGUUUUGCGUCUCGGCCCCAUCAGUAUCUUAAGGUGGUGGAAUUCAUCGGGUUUGUUGGGCGUACAAAUGAUGCUGAGCUUGCUAGGUAUUUAAUCAAGAACGCCGUCAUGCUUGAGAAGAUUACUUUUGAUUCUCACAGACCGUUUCUAAUAGGAACUCCAUGGGAGCACAAGGAUACCAAGGAGAGAAAAGCAGCAAGAAAGCGUGCCAAGCAUUUCCGAACCAAACUUCCUGCUAGAGUCACUACAAGAAAUUCGGAUUUUAGGGACAGUCCUUUAGGGACAGUUUUAAAAACUGUCCCUAAAACUUUCUUUUUUAGGCACAGUCAUUUAGACCGUCCCUAAAAAUUACUUUUUUGGCACAGUUAUUUUGACUGUCCCUAAAAACACGAAUGGCCCGUCCCCAAUUCCACAAAUAAAUUGUGCGGGAAGCCUUGGCGCUUAAUUCCCUGUUUGCCGCUAGCUUUGUUUUGCCGCUUAAUUCCCUAAAAUUAUUUUAUUUAAUAAAAAAAUGAAAGCUACGUCGUUUAAUUUCAUUACAUCAUAUCCUAGCUAUCAUCAGUUCCACGACCCGCCUCAAGCCCUCACUCCCUCUCUUCCACCUCUUCCACCCUCGCAGAACACUGAAGCUCUUCUACCCUCACAGAAGACUGAAGCUUUUCCACCUUCACAGAAGACUGAAGCUUUUCCACCCUCUUCCACCAUUGCAGAAUAUUGAGGCUCUUCCACCCUCUGAAUGACCCAAUCGUUCCAACAUCAACUCUUACUCUUCAGGUACAACAAUGUUUUUAUUUUUUCAACAUUUUAGGGAUUAUGCCUCUUUCUUCGAUUUUCAGAGAACCCCCAUCUUCGAUUUGACAUUCAUAUAACCAACUUCGGUUUAAUGAUCCUUGCCCUAGUUUUGGUCCAUUUUUAUUUUGAUUGUUUCAGAUCUGGACACAUAUAUAUGCUAUUUGCAAUUUGUGUUUAUUUUAGGGUUUGGAAAAUUAUUUGUGUGUUUAUUUUCGGUUUGUGAUUGUUUUUGGCUUUAGUUAAUGGUUUAUAGUCUUAGAGGUUGAUUAUUAUUUUUUUUUUUCCUGAACUUGUUUUUUAUUUUUUAUUUAGAUUUUACAAAAUGCAGGUGAUUAAACAGCGUUUCAAAGACUUUGUCCUGUUUUUUUCUCUGUUUUUGGUUGAUUUUCGAAUAAUUUUGGCCUCAACUAUAUUUUUUUUGGGCUUGAAUUUUUUUGUCUGAGGGAUUGUUUGUUGUUUAUUUGUGUUUGAAGUUUGAUUGUACAUUUUUCACUGUUCCAAGCAAUGAAAGAGGCAACGAAUUAGGCCAAGUUGGGAUGGAAAGAACUCGGAUUAAAGUAGAACCUCAAGAUUAUGGUGACCUUUCCGGAUUCCAUGAUUUUGGGCUGGAGAAAAUUGGUAGUGAUAAAGUGCUUGAUGAGGGAUUUUGGGAAAAUUUAAUGAAUGAGGAGAUUGAAGAAGAAAUUGGUUUACUGGAUGGUGAAGUAGAAGAAGAAGAAGAUGUUGAUAUUUUAGCUGACCAGCUUGGUAUAUUGGAUUCUAUUCCAAGAUAGUGUGUAGUUUAUUCUAGCUUGUUAAUUUUGUGUUUGUCUGCUUCAAUAAUCUGGUUAGGUGACACUAA
Cornus florida is the source of this 2087-nucleotide RNA transcript. It is a transcript of the gene named putative F-box/LRR-repeat protein At3g18150, with no coding region annotated. NCBI's taxonomy places the organism in Eukaryota, Viridiplantae, Streptophyta, Magnoliopsida, Cornales, Cornaceae. The record is from RefSeq and is a predicted model, not a curated record. The transcript has 4 exons.